This is a long non-coding RNA of Sorghum bicolor (sorghum), 859 nucleotides long. RefSeq lists it as uncharacterized. NCBI's taxonomy places the organism in Eukaryota, Viridiplantae, Streptophyta, Magnoliopsida, Poales, Poaceae. The record is from RefSeq and is a predicted model, not a curated record. The transcript is spliced from 3 exons.
UCUUCCUGCCGUCAUGCGCCACCUCUCACUGCCGCAUCCUGAUGCCUUGCAUCUCAAAGGCACGAUGCCGCCCCCCCUCUAGUCUUGUGUGAUCUCUCAAUCUUCUUCCUCUUUCUUUUCCCCUUCUGCUAUCCAUGGAUUUCAAGAUAUCCCCACCAGAUCGACAACCGUGGCUGGGGGAUUCCAAGAAUUUCUACUCCAGAAUCAAUCUAUACGGAGUAUGGUUGAUAUAUAUUGAUUUCCCCCGAUCGAUUUCUUUCUAUGUGAUGUGUGCAGGUUGGGUGGCGGCGACGGCGUGCUCCACUGAUGUGCAGAGCUGGGCAGCCAUGGCGCCCAGGCAAGCCAAGGAGGCCCGAGCAUGCUGAUGUGUGGGGAUUUGGACUCCAGCAACAACCCUCCGUAAUCUGAAAGAUGUUGCGUCCAAAAUUAUGGCCUUUUCUCAACAAGGCCCGCACACUACAUGCAUAAUUUGAGCAAACGGCGCUCUGUGUACGGCAACACUGCGUCAACCAGCAACCUCUAGUGGGAUAGUGACAUAUGAGGAAGCCAGAGAUCUACUGUUGCUAGAGUUGAGCCAGAUGUAGGACGAGGCCACCAUUGAUCUUCUACAAGCCUGAGCUUGUAAGGCAAGGAUCUUAUUUCUUGCUCUUCAGUGAUGGAUUUUGAUUGCAAAUCUAGCUAGCUAGUAUAAUAGAUUUCUUCAUGGAUUUUUAGAUCUGUACAAAGAGUGAAACUUGUUGGACUUGUGGAUUUGACAAACUUGUGGAACUUGUUAUGAUACAACUUUUGAAUUUGUAAAUUUGAUGAUGGAACUUGAUUUUGAUGUUUGUGUUGUGAUGUGGUCAGCUUUGAUAUUAUA